This 569-nucleotide ribosomal RNA is filed under the name uncultured bacterium. Its description in RNAcentral is "bacterial SSU rRNA". It matches the Rfam family "Bacterial small subunit ribosomal RNA", at positions 158 to 742 of the family's 1533-position model. The record is from RNAcentral.
UGGGAAUAAUGCCUUAUAAGAUACGUUUGUCGCAUGGCAUUUGUAUUAAACGCUCCGGCGCCAUAGGAUGGACCCGCGUCCCAUUAGCUAGUUGGUGAGAUAACAGCUCACCAAGGCCACGAUGGGUAACCGGUCUGAGAGGGCGAACGGUCACACUGGAACUGAGACACGGUCCAGACUCCUACGGGAGGCAGCAGUGGGGAAUAUUGCGCAAUGGGGGCAACCCUGACGCAGCAAUACCGCGUGAGUGAAGAAGGUUUUCGGAUCGUAAAGCUCUGUUAUUGGGGAAGAAAAAAAGACGGUACCCAAGAAGAAAGUUCCGGCUAACUACGUGCCAGCAGCCGCGGUAAUACGUAGGGAACAAGCGUUGUCCGGAUUUACUGGGCGUAAAGGGCACGCAGGCGGUUUUUUAAGUCAGAUGUGAAAGGCCACAGCUCAACUGUGGACAUGCAUUUGAAACUGAAAGACUUGAGUAUUGGAGAGGCAAGUGGAAUUCCUAGUGUAGCGGUGAAAUGCGUAGAUAUUAGGAGGAACACCGGUGGCGAAGGCGGCUUGCUGGACAAAUACUG